Molecule: ribosomal RNA, 622 nt
Filed under: uncultured bacterium
Lineage: Bacteria
Description: bacterial SSU rRNA
Rfam family: Bacterial small subunit ribosomal RNA
Source: RNAcentral
AGAGUUUGAUCAUGGCUCAGGACUAACGCUGGCGGCGUGCCUAAUACAUGCAAGUCGAACGGGAUUCUUUGAUCAGCUUGCUGAGAGAAGGAUCUAGUGGCGGACGGGUGAGUAACACGUGGGAAUCUGCCUCUUGCUGGGGGAUAACAGUGGGAAACUACUGCUAAUACCGCAUAAGAUCUUCGGAUGAAAGGUGCAACUGCACCGGUAAGAGAUGAGCCCGCGUCCCAUUAGCUAGUUGGUGAGGUAAAGGCUCACCAAGGCGACGAUGGGUAGCCGGCCUGAGAGGGUGAACGGCCACACUGGGACUGAGACACGGCCCAGACUCCUACGGGAGGCAGCAGUAGGGAAUCUUCCGCAAUGGGCGCAAGCCUGACGGAGCGACGCCGCGUGAGUGAUGAAGGCCUUCGGGUCGUAAAGCUCUGUUCUUGAGGACGAAUAAGCCAGGGAGUGGAAAGCCCUGGUGAUGACUGUACUCAAGGAGAAAGCUCCGGCUAACUACGUGCCAGCAGCCGCGGUAAUACGUANGGAGCUAGCGUUGUCCGGAAUUACUGGGUGUAAAGGGCGCGCANGCGGUUUCAUAAGUCAGGUGUGAAAGCCCGGGGCUCAACUCCGGAUAUGC